UUAAGAAUCUUGCACAAUGGGGGCAACCCUGAUGCAGCGACGCCGCGUGGAUGAUGAAGGCCUUCGGGUUGUAAAGUCCAGUAAGCAGGGAAGAAUAAUUGUGGGGUAAUAUUCCAUAAGAUGACGGUACCUGCCUAAAGCCCCGGCUAACUACGUGCCAGCAGCCGCGGUAAUACGUAUGGGGUAAGCGUUGUUCGGAAUUAUUGGGCGUAAAGGGCGUCUAGGCGGGGGAUUAAGUUAGAUGUGAAAGCUAUGGGCUCAACCCAUAAACUGCAUCUAAGACUGGUUCUCUUGAGUUCGGGAGAGGAGAGCGGAAUUCCAGGUGUAGCGGUGAAAUGCGUAGAUAUCUGGAAGAACACCAGUGGCGAAGGCGGCUCUCUGGCCUAGAACUGACGCUGAAGCGCGAAAGCGUGGGGAGCGAACAGG
This 426-nucleotide ribosomal RNA is filed under the name uncultured bacterium. RNAcentral describes it as "bacterial SSU rRNA". It matches the Rfam family "Bacterial small subunit ribosomal RNA", at positions 355 to 776 of the family's 1533-position model. The record is from RNAcentral.